Molecule: small RNA, 173 nt
Filed under: Gopherus agassizii (Agassiz's desert tortoise)
Lineage: Eukaryota; Metazoa; Chordata; Testudines; Testudinidae
Description: TUC338 (ENSGAGG00000003916.1)
Source: RNAcentral
UUGACAGCUCUGGCACAGGAAGGGUUUGUCUGUUUGAUGUACAGCCCAGGCAAGAUCAGUGCAAGCUUUUCCACACUGCCUAGACAAUGUUCUCCAACCCUUUCCUGGAGGGAUCACUUGUACAGGUGUGUGAAGUCAGUUCUGUCCCCAUCCCUGCUCAGUGCUUGGGUUUU